GCUUACAGCCAUACUGCUUUGGAUGUGCUUGCUCUCAUUUAAUCUCAGAAGCUAAAUGGAGUUCGCCCAAUUAGUAUUUGGGAGCGGUAUGUC
RNAcentral lists this ribosomal RNA (93 nucleotides) under Paramormyrops kingsleyae. The record is from RNAcentral. Lineage: Eukaryota; Metazoa; Chordata; Actinopteri; Osteoglossiformes; Mormyridae.